UAUCAUUGCAAUAAGUAACAUCUAAGACUUGAUUGAAUUUCUAAUGAAGCACAUGGAAUUUUUGCCCCACCUGUAGAAACCAAGAGGGGGGAGACUCCUGUAUAUAAGAGGUCCCCUGAGACUGAUCCAGUAUCUUAUAUACAAAGACUUUAAGCAGAGAAGAGACAACUACACUUGUCUGCAGGAGAAUGAUGAAGCUUGGCGCAGUCCUUCUCGUCCUGGCAAUUGCUGCCCAGUCUCUCUAUGUCUACGGAGCUCCAAAGUGUGGUGCGCACCAAAUAAUGAACAGCUGUGAUGGUCCAUGUACACUCAACUGUCACUCUAUGAAACAUCCCAAAUCCUGCCUGGAGCUCUGCAGUCCUGGGUGUGUCUGCCAAAGUCCGUACUUCGCUGUAUCCAGCACAGAUAAGACCUGUGUUCUACGAACCAAGUGCCCGUAGGACUUUCUGAAGAAGGAAACUGGGAUAUAGAUGUGACAUGAGGAUCUCCAGCUGUCGUCUUGUUACUUUGUUCUACAAUUUGUAUAUAUGUGUAAUGCAUUAUGUGACCUGUUCCAGAUAAUCCUGCUUGUCCAGAUACAUAACGAAUUGGACAUCUAGGAAAAUAUUUCUGUGCAAAAAUAAAUAAAUGCAAAAUAUUCAGUGAUAA
Long non-coding RNA from Pseudophryne corroboree (corroboree frog), 648 nucleotides. RefSeq lists it as uncharacterized. The transcript has 4 exons. The record is from RefSeq and is a predicted model, not a curated record. Lineage: Eukaryota; Metazoa; Chordata; Amphibia; Anura; Myobatrachidae.